Molecule: RNA transcript, 3099 nt
Organism: Alnus glutinosa
Lineage: Eukaryota; Viridiplantae; Streptophyta; Magnoliopsida; Fagales; Betulaceae
Gene name: pentatricopeptide repeat-containing protein At4g33990
Exons: 3
Source: RefSeq, a predicted model, not a curated record
GCCCAUUUCUGUUACCCAAAUUUCUCUGAUCUCUUUCUUCUCCCCCCAAAACCCUAAUCGCCUGAACCCUCUCAGCCAGUCCUUUGUAAAGCAUUUCUCAGUGACCGGCGAUAUAUUGCACAUUAAAAUCUACAUGUAUGUUCAGAUUGUCACCAACCUGCAAAGGUAGGCAUCUUUCCAAAUUUCGGCCAUUGAUUCAAGCCCGUUGGUCAUUCUUUCCAGCAGCUACAACUUCUCUCCAAUUCACAUCAGAUGGCUUCAAAAAUGAGAACAAAGACAUUGAUUUCAAUCUCUUAUUCUUAUCCUGCACAAAAGUGCACCUUGCAGAGCGUCUUCAUGCCCUUCUUGUGGUCUCAGGGAAAGUUCAAGACGUCGUUCUCUCCACCAGGCUUGUCAAUCUUUAUGCAAGUCUUGGUGAUGCCUCAUUUGCUCAGCGCACUUUUAAUCAGAUUCCAAAAAAGAAUAUUUUUACCUGGAAUUCAAUGUUAUCUGCUUAUGCUCGCAUUGGACGUUUCCGUGAAGCUGUGAAUUGUUUUUAUCAGUUUUUGUUGACCUCUGGUAUUCGGCCUGAUUCCUACACUUUUCCGCCUGUGUUAAAAGCUUGUGGAAAUCUAGUUGAUGGGAAGAAGAUGCAUUGCUGGGUUCUAAAGCUGGGCUUUGAGUGGGAUGUCUUUGUGGCUGCUUCUUUGGUCCAUAUGUAUUCCCGGUUUGGCUUCUUAUGUGUUGCGCGUAAAUUGUUCAAUAAUAUGCCGGUUCGAGAUAUGGGCUCUUGGAAUGCAAUGAUUUCUGGGUUUUGUCAAAAUGGAAAUGCUGCAGAGGCAUUGGACCUCUUGGAUGAGAUGAGAUUGGAGGGGGUAAAGAUGGAUCCAGUAACUGUCUCAAGUCUACUUCCUGUUUGUGCACUAUCUGAUGAUAUCUUGAUUGGGAUGCUGAUUCAUUUAUAUGUCAUAAAGCAUGGACUGGAGUUCGAUGUGUUUGUGUCCAAUGCCUUGAUUAACAUGUAUGCCAAAUUUGGUCGCUUGGGGCAUGCGCAAAGGAUUUUUGAUGAGAUGGAGGUGAGAGAUUUGGUUUCAUGGAACUCAAUAAUUGCUGCCUGUGAGCAGAAUAAUGAUCCAAUUACUGCACUUGGACUUUUUAAUAAGAUGCAUUUAAUAGGGAUUCGGCCUGAUUUGUUGACAGGAGUGAGUUUGGCUUCUAUUUUUGCUCAAUUAUGUGAUCGCCAAAAUAGUAGGUCUGUUCAUGGAUUCAUUGUCAGGAGAGGUUGGCUUAUGGAAGAUGUUGUCAUUGGAAAUGCAGUUGUGGACAUGUAUGCGAAAUUAGGCGCUAUAGAUUCUGCUCGUACAGUUUUUGAAGGACUUCCUGUCAAAGAUGUGAUCUCGUGGAAUACUUUAAUCACAGGUUAUGCUCAAAAUGGUCUUGCAAGCGAAGCAAUUGAAGUGUACAGUAAGAUGGAGGAGCACAAAGAGAUAAUUCCUAACCAAGGGACUUGGGUAAGCAUUCUACCAGCGUAUUCCCAUGUAGGAGCCUUGCAACAAGGGAUGAGAAUUCAUGGACGGGUGAUUAAGAACAGUGUCUACUUGGAUGUCUUUGUCGGUACCUGCCUCAUUGACUUGUAUGGAAAAUGUGGGAGAUUAGAUGAAGCAAUGUCCUUAUUCUAUCAAGUGCCCAGGAAGAGUUCAGUUUCUUGGAAUGCCGUAAUAUCCUGUCAUGGCAUUCAUGGGCAUGGUGAGAAAGCUCUGAAGCUAUUUAACGAAAUGCUAGAUGAGGGGGUGAAGCCAGAUCAUGUAACCUUUGUAUCUUUAUUGUCAGCUUGUAGUCAUUCAGGUUUGGUUGAUGAGGGUCAAUGGUGCUUUCAUGUGAUGCAAGACGAAUAUGGGAUCAAGCCUAGUUUGAAGCACUAUGGCUGCAUGGUAGAUUUGCUUGGUAGAGCUGGACGUCUAGAAAUGGCAUAUAAUUUUAUAAAAAAUAUGCCUGUACAGCCUGAUGCUUCUGUCUGGGGUGCUCUUCUUGGUGCUUGUAGAAUACAUGGAAAUUUUGAGUUGGGUUCAUUUGCUUCAGAUCGUUUGUUUGAAGUUGAUUCGGAGAAUGUUGGCUACUAUGUUUUGUUAUCUAAUAUUUACGCAAAUAUUGGGAAAUGGGAGGGAGUGGAUAAAGUGAGAUCAUUGGCCAGAGAUAGGGGAUUAAAGAAGACACCUGGGUGGAGCUCAAUCGAAGUGAACAAUAAAGUCGAUGUCUUCUAUACUGGAAACCAAACCCAUCCAAAAUGCGAGGAAAUAUACAAGGAGCUGAAGGUUCUGACUGCAAAAAUGAAGAGCCUUGGUUAUGUUCCCGACUAUAGCUUUGUGUUGCAGGAUGUUGAGGAUGAUGAGAAGGAGCAUAUCCUCAUAAGUCAUAGUGAGAGACUGGCAAUUGUAUUCGGAAUUAUUAGCACCCCUCCCAAAAGUACCAUUCGGAUUUUCAAGAACUUGCGGGUUUGCGGUGACUGCCACGAGGCAACUAAAUUCAUAUCUAGGAUUACUGAGAGGGAGAUCAUCGUGAGGGAUUCGAACCGUUUCCAUCACUUCAAGGAUGGAAUUUGCUCUUGUGGCGAUUAUUGGUGACAUGAAUUGCAGGUAUUGUUGAAAGUUUGAUACUUAGGAUUCAAACGCUUCACACAUGGAUGAAGACUGACCAUAUGUGCAAGAAAAACUUAAAAAGCUUUUGAUUUUCAGGGGUGUUGUGCCAAAGGAAAGCCUGAAGCAAGCUGGGAGUACCACAUUAGUAACCCGAUUUGUUGUGCUUUUACUUUUCAUGCAAUCGAAGUGUUGAAGAAGACUUAUCAAAAAGAGUGUUGAAGAAGCAAAGAUUGCCAACCAGGUGCUUAUCUGGAUAAGCCACCAAAGCCCUUAAACCUACCUGUCUGUCUAACUGUCUGCAUUCAUAUAUUUGGAAUCGUUGAAUAUCUGUCAAGCCAGCUAGAAAGAAUAUAACCCUAGACUUUGGAGUCCACCUUGCUGAUUCCAAAUUCCAAUCGCCAGCCUGGGACCCAGUCACCACUUCAACAUCUUUGCAAGGACGAGCCAAGAAGAAAGAUUAAUGCCACUAUUCACUCAUUUAUUA